This 452-nucleotide ribosomal RNA is filed under the name beta proteobacterium SCGC AAA024-C09. RNAcentral's name for it is "bacterial SSU rRNA". It matches the Rfam family "Bacterial small subunit ribosomal RNA", at positions 354 to 798 of the family's 1533-position model. Lineage: Bacteria; Pseudomonadati; Pseudomonadota; Betaproteobacteria. The record is from RNAcentral.
GUGGGGAAUUUUGGACAAUGGACGCAAGUCUGAUCCAGCCAUUCCGCGUGCAGGAUGAAGGCCCUCGGGUUGUAAACUGCUUUUGUACGGAACGAAAAGGUCUCUCCUAAUACGAGAGGCUCAUGACGGUACCGUAAGAAUAAGCACCGGCUAACUACGUGCCAGCAGCCGCGGUAAUACGUAGGGUGCAAGCGUUAAUCGGAAUUACUGGGCGUAAAGCGUGCGCAGGCGGUUAUAUAAGACAGAUGUGAAAUCCCCGGGCUCAACCUGGGAACUGCAUUUGUGACUGUAUAGCUAGAGUACGGUAGAGGGGGAUGGAAUUCCGCGUGUAGCAGUGAAAUGCGUAGAUAUGCGGAGGAACACCGAUGGCGAAGGCAAUCCCCUGGACCUGUACUGACGCUCAUGCACGAAAGCGUGGGGAGCAAACAGGAUUAGAUACCCCGGUAGUCCGG